ACCUCUGUGGUGUGGUGGAAUCACGCGUCUCCGGCAUGAGACGUACACGGGUUUAACUCCCGCCUGGGGUU
Non-coding RNA from Parelaphostrongylus tenuis, 71 nucleotides. Lineage: Eukaryota; Metazoa; Nematoda; Chromadorea; Rhabditida; Metastrongylidae. The record is from the annotation of a GenBank genome assembly.